RNAcentral lists this ribosomal RNA (458 nucleotides) under uncultured bacterium. Its description in RNAcentral is "bacterial SSU rRNA". It matches the Rfam family "Bacterial small subunit ribosomal RNA", at positions 415 to 891 of the family's 1533-position model. The record is from RNAcentral.
UCUUAGGAUCGUAAAGCUCUUUCGCCUGUGAAGAUAAUGACGGUAGCAGGUAAAGAAACCCCGGCUAACUCCGUGCCAGCAGCCGCGGUAAUACGGAGGGGGUUAGCGUUGUUCGGAAUUACUGGGCGUAAAGCGCACGUAGGCGGAUUGGAAAGUUGGGGGUGAAAUCCCGGGGCUCAACCCCGGAACUGCCUCCAAAACUUCCAGUCUGGAGUUCGAGAGAGGUGAGUGGAAUUCCGAGUGUAGAGGUGAAAUUCGUAGAUAUUCGGAGGAACACCAGUGGCGAAGGCGGCUCACUGGCUCGAUACUGACGCUGAGGUGCGAAAGUGUGGGGAGCAAACAGGAUUAGAUACCCUGGUAGUCCACACCGUAAACGAUGAAUGCCAGUCGUCGGGCAGCAUGCUGUUCGGUGACACACCUAACGGAUUAAGCAUUCCGCCUGGGGAGUACGGCCGCAA